This is a long non-coding RNA of Carya illinoinensis, 1257 nucleotides long. RefSeq lists it as uncharacterized. NCBI's taxonomy places the organism in Eukaryota, Viridiplantae, Streptophyta, Magnoliopsida, Fagales, Juglandaceae. The record is from RefSeq and is a predicted model, not a curated record. The transcript has 2 exons.
AAUCACUUGAGUUCUCGAGUCGAAAUGUACGCCUACGCCUCUCUGCAUUAAUCGCCGGCGGAGUUCCUUAAAAAAAAAAAAAAAAAAAUCGUGGGCGGAGUCUUCCACGCUACGCACAUGUCAUCGACUGCUGCACACAGCCUGUGGCUCGAUGUCGGUGCUGGCAAAUUGCUCACCAUUAAAGCUGGCCAUGCAACAACUCAAAAGCCAUUUGUAUCAUUCAUCGUACAGGGUUUUGGUUUUCGAAACGAAGACGACAAUCCAUUCAAUAACUGUGUGUGUCCAUCCGAGUUUCUGACUUUCUGCAAUAUCAAGACUCUCCAUCCGGUCCCAAAUUUAUAUGUAAGGCCUUAUAAAUAAAACUACCCUCUUUAACCUCUCCCACGCACAUACUUUUCAUCAAGUAUAUGAUUAGGUUCUACUUAUCUAUUGCUUCAGUUUGUAUCCACAUGCAGGGUCCUUAUCUCCGUUUCACUGCAAAAAUACUUGUUCUACAUGUACGUUAGUCCCAUUUUCGUUACCCAGGGAAAAACUAAAACAUUUAUUCCAUUGUCUUAAGCGUCUUUUUCCUCUAUCGAUCUGUUUGUAUUUCCUUGCACAUUUGUGAUAAAGUCAACCGAGUUUCAGUGUUGUAAAUAUAUCUUGAGGACCAGAAUACGUGGUGGGUGGAGCACAGGCAUUGGUUCAAACUUAAAUGAAAACCCCAGGAACCUUUUCAACUGAUUUACAAACCCCCUCCACUUCCUUUCCUCAAAUUUAGCCUACAUUUUCCCCAAACCUCUGCAAGAAACAUCCUUUUUGCAGAUAUUAUUAUUAUUAUUUUUUUUUAGAGUCGGGGCCACUUCGUACUUGUUUAAGGGGAGCUGGGAAGGUAUAGGCAUAUACUCAGCUCGUUUCCUGCAUCUCAUUUGGUCUAGUUAACUGACAAUGGGAAGUAUAGACAAUGGGAAAUAUAGUGGGAAAGAGUGAAUCACCUAAACAGGUUUGGAUAACAGAAACAAAGCUUUAGGCCAAAAUGGUUGAAGCUAUGAAGCAGAGGGCAUCAGCGGGAAGUGCGCGCCACGAAAUCAUUCAACAGCAUAAUCGACCUUGCAGUUCCCCAAAAUCGAUUAGAGCUUGAGAAAUUGCAGUGUAAUUUUUGAGCAAUUUGGUGGGUGGCCUAUCAAUUCUUUGUUGAAUACUAGUAGUUGAUAAUUUCUUCUGGUAACACUAAAUUUUGUGAAUUACGACCAUAAAAUUAAGAAGUGCUUAUUGUUC